This 835-nucleotide ribosomal RNA is filed under the name Ectopseudomonas oleovorans. RNAcentral describes it as "bacterial SSU rRNA". It matches the Rfam family "Bacterial small subunit ribosomal RNA", at positions 8 to 838 of the family's 1533-position model. The record is from RNAcentral. Lineage: Bacteria; Pseudomonadati; Pseudomonadota; Gammaproteobacteria; Pseudomonadales; Pseudomonadaceae.
AGAGUUUGAUCAUGGCUCAGAUUGAACGCUGGCGGCAGGCCUAACACAUGCAAGUCGAGCGGAUGAAGGGAGCUUGCUCCUGGAUUCAGCGGCGGACGGGUGAGUAAUGCCUAGGAAUCUGCCUGGUAGUGGGGGAUAACGUUCCGAAAGGAACGCUAAUACCGCGUACGUCCUACGGGAGAAAGCAGGGGACCUUCGGGCCUUGCGCUAUCAGAUGAGCCUAGGUCGGAUUAGCUAGUUGGUGAGGUAAUGGCUCACCAAGGCGACGAUCCGUAACUGGUCUGAGAGGAUGAUCAGUCACACUGGAACUGAGACACGGUCCAGACUCCUACGGGAGGCAGCAGUGGGGAAUAUUGGACAAUGGGCGAAAGCCUGAUCCAGCCAUGCCGCGUGUGUGAAGAAGGUCUUCGGAUUGUAAAGCACUUUAAGUUGGGAGGAAGGGCUGUAGGCUAAUAUCCUGCGGUUUUGACGUUACCAACAGAAUAAGCACCGGCUAACUUCGUGCCAGCAGCCGCGGUAAUACGAAGGGUGCAAGCGUUAAUCGGAAUUACUGGGCGUAAAGCGCGCGUAGGUGGUUAGUUAAGUUGGAUGUGAAAUCCCCGGGCUCAACCUGGGAACUGCAUUCAAAACUGACUGACUAGAGUAUGGUAGAGGGUGGUGGAAUUUCCUGUGUAGCGGUGAAAUGCGUAGAUAUAGGAAGGAACACCAGUGGCGAAGGCGACUACCUGGACUGAUACUGACACUGAGGUGCGAAAGCGUGGGGAGCAAACAGGAUUAGAUACCCUGGUAGUCCACGCCGUAAACGAUGUCAACUAGCCGUUGGGAGCCUUGAGCU